UGCAUGUCCAAAAUUAAUAGUAAAAUAUAAAUUAAGAAGAAAAACUUUGAGUUUUAAACUUAAACCACUUGCGGUUCGUGAGAUUUUUUUUUUUUGUAUUUCGACAUUUUGUGAAAAGUGAUUUUCAGAAUUUAGUUGAUAAUGGCUUCGACCUCUGAUGUCCCCGUAGACUUCCAAAAAGUUGGAUUGUUUCGUGCACUCGUGUCAUAUGCAUGGGUUCCAUUUCAGUUUUUCUCAGGUCUCAUCAUUAACGCAAUCAUGCAAUUUUGGCCGGACGUGUUACCAUUCGUAAAAGGACUAAUAUCAUCUGAAAACACAAUUUUCCGUAACUAUGGAUCUUCCAGAAAAAUAGGAAAGGCGAGGAAAAUCAAUUCAACGACAAAGUUCCGAUCAGGCGUUGAUCUGCCGAAUCUCCCGGAUCUUCCUGAUUUCGAGAAAACAUCGGGCAUUCUAUUCAGCAAUUUGGGAGACGCGCAAAUCAUCGAUACUUGUGAAGACAUGACCCUUACAACCACAUUUGAAUAAAGAGACGGUUAUCAGGCGAUUGUACACGAUUAAGGAAAUAAAUGUUGACUAGGAAAAAAAUUGAC
Molecule: long non-coding RNA, 590 nt
Organism: Bradysia coprophila
Lineage: Eukaryota; Metazoa; Arthropoda; Insecta; Diptera; Sciaridae
Source: RefSeq, a predicted model, not a curated record